AGCCUAGUAGCAUAACGGUUAAUGCACCACUCUGAUAUAUGGUGGUUGUUGUUAGCAUAUUCUUGUGGAGUCCCUCAUUCGACUCGAGGCUAGGCCG
Mycena polygramma is the source of this 97-nucleotide non-coding RNA. The record is from the annotation of a GenBank genome assembly. Lineage: Eukaryota; Fungi; Basidiomycota; Agaricomycetes; Agaricales; Mycenaceae.